UAGGGAAUCUUCGGCAAUGGACGAAAGUCUGACCGAGCAACGCCGCGUGAGUGAAGAAGGUUUUCGGAUCGUAAAACUCUGUUGUUAGAGAAGAACAAGGACGUUAGUAACUGAACGUCCCCUGACGGUAUCUAACCAGAAAGCCACGGCUAACUACGUGCCAGCAGCCGCGGUAAUACGUAGGUGGCAAGCGUUGUCCGGAUUUAUUGGGCGUAAAGCGAGCGCAGGCGGUUUCUUAAGUCUGAUGUGAAAGCCCCCGGCUCAACCGGGGAGGGUCAUUGGAAGCUGGGAGACUUGAGUGCAGAAGAGGAGAGUGGAAUUCCAUGUGUAGCGGUGAAAUGCGUAGAUAUAUGGAGGAACACCAGUGGCGAAGGCGGCUCUCUGGUCUGUAACUGACGCUGAGGCUCGAAAGCGUGGGGAGCAAACAG
This 428-nucleotide ribosomal RNA is filed under the name Gemmatimonadota bacterium. Its description in RNAcentral is "Gemmatimonadetes bacterium partial 16S ribosomal RNA". It matches the Rfam family "Bacterial small subunit ribosomal RNA", at positions 355 to 775 of the family's 1533-position model. The record is from RNAcentral. Lineage: Bacteria; Pseudomonadati; Gemmatimonadota.